RNAcentral lists this ribosomal RNA (463 nucleotides) under uncultured bacterium. Its description in RNAcentral is "partial 16S ribosomal RNA". It matches the Rfam family "Bacterial small subunit ribosomal RNA", at positions 28 to 507 of the family's 1533-position model. The record is from RNAcentral.
GACGAACGCUGGCGGCGUGCUUAACACAUGCAAGUCGAACGGUGAACCUCUUCGGAGGGGAUCAGUGGCGAACGGGUGAGUAACACGUGGGCAACCUGCCCCCGGCUCUGGGAUAACUCCAAGAAAUUGGGGCUAAUACCGGAUGUUCACCGCUUCCCGCAUGGGUGGUGGUGCAAAGGGUUUCCGGCUGGGGAUGGGCCCGCGGCCUAGCGGCUUGUUGGUGGGGUAGUGGCCUACCAAGGCGACGGCGGGUAGCCGGCCUGGGAGGGUGGCCGGCCGCGCGGGGACGGGGGGAGGGCGCAGGCGGGUAGGGGGGGGAGGGGUGGGGAGGAGGGCGGGGGGGGGGGGAGGGGGGCGCAGCGGGGGCGGGGGGGGGAUGACGGCCUGCGGGUUGUAAACCGCUGUGGGCGGGGACGGGGCGGGAGUGACGGUACCUGCAGAAGAAGCGCCGGCGAACUACGUG